CACGUAGGGCGCAAGCGUUGUCCGGAAUUAUUGGGCGUAAAGAGCUCGUAGGCGGUCUGUUACGUCUGCUGUGAAAACCCGGGGCUUAACCCUGGGCUUGCAGUGGAUACGGGCAGACUAGAGGCAGGUAGGGGAGAAUGGAAUUCCCGGUGUAGCGGUGAAAUGCGCAGACAUCGGGAGGAACACCUAUGGCGAAGGCAGCUCGCUGGGACGGUACUGACGCUGAGACGCGAAAGCGUGGGGAGCAAACAGG
Molecule: ribosomal RNA, 253 nt
Filed under: uncultured bacterium
Lineage: Bacteria
Description: partial 16S ribosomal RNA
Rfam family: Bacterial small subunit ribosomal RNA
Source: RNAcentral